RNAcentral lists this ribosomal RNA (492 nucleotides) under uncultured bacterium. RNAcentral describes it as "partial 16S ribosomal RNA". It matches the Rfam family "Bacterial small subunit ribosomal RNA", at positions 29 to 507 of the family's 1533-position model. The record is from RNAcentral.
AGUGAACGCUGGCGGUAGGCCUAACACAUGCAAGUCGAACGGCAGCACAGUAAGAGCUUGCUCUUACGGGUGGCGAGUGGCGGGCGGGUGAGGAAUACAUCGGAAUCUACUUUUUCGUGGGGGAUAACGUAGGGAAACUUACGCUAAUACCGCAUACGACCUACGGGUGAAAGCAGGGGAUCUUCGGACCUUGCGCGAUUCAAUGAGCCGAUGUCGGAUUAGCUAGUUGGCGGGGUAAAGGCCCACCAAGGCGACGAUCCGUAGCUGGUCUGAGAGGAUGAUCAGCCACACUGGAACUGAGACACGGUCCAGACUCCUACGGGAGGCAGCAGUGGGGAAUAUUGGACAAUGGGCGCAAGCCUGAUCCAGCCAUACCGCGUGGGUGAAGAAGGCCUUCGGGUUGUAAAGCCCUUUUGUUGGGAAAGAAAAGCAGCAGGUUAAUACCCCGCUGUUCUGACGGUACCCAAAGAAUAAGCACCGGCUAACUUCGUG